RNAcentral lists this ribosomal RNA (489 nucleotides) under Triticum aestivum (bread wheat). RNAcentral describes it as "partial small subunit ribosomal RNA". Lineage: Eukaryota; Viridiplantae; Streptophyta; Magnoliopsida; Poales; Poaceae. The record is from RNAcentral.
AUGAAGUGGCGCCAAGCUUCUGGCAUUCUCUGUGACAAGAGAGUGCCACAAAAGCUAAAAGGCAAGUUCUACAGGACGGCGGUUCGACCCGCAAUGUUGUAUGGCGCGGAGUGUUGGCCGACUAAAAGGCGACAUGUUCAACAGUUAGGUGUGGCGGAGAUGCGUAUGUUGAGAUGGAUGUGUGGCGACACGAGGAAGGAUCGAGUCCGGAAUGAUGAUAUACGAGAUAGAAUUGGGGUAGCACCAAUUGAGGAGAAGCUUGUCCAACAUCGUUUGAGAUGGUUUGGGCAUAUUCAGCGCAGGCCUCCAGAAGCUCCAGUGCAUAGCGGACGGCUAAAGCGUGCGGAGAAUGUCAAGAGAGGGCGGGGUCGACCGAUUUUGACAUGGGAGGAGUCCGUUAAGAGAGACCUGAAGGAUUGGAGUAUCGACAAAGAGCUAGCUAUGGACAGGGGUGCGUGGAAGCUUGCUAUCCAUGUGCCAGAGCCAUGA